ACGCUGGCGGCGUGCUUAACACAUGCAAGUCGAACGAUGAAGCCUAGCUUGCUAGGUGGAUUAGUGGCGAACGGGUGAGUAAUACGUGAGUAACCUACCUUUAACUCUGGGAUAAGCCUGGGAAACUGGGUCUAAUACCGGAUACGACCAAUCUCCGCAUGGGGUGUUGGUGGAAAGCGUUAUGUAGUGGUUAUAGAUGGGCUCACGGCCUAUCAGCUUGUUGGUGAGGUAACGGCUCACCAAGGCGACGACGGGUAGCCGGCCUGAGAGGGUGACCGGCCACACUGGGACUGAGACACGGCCCAGACUCCUACGGGAGGCAGCAGUGGGGAAUAUUGCACAAUGGGCGCAAGCCUGAUGCAGCGACGCCGCGUGAGGGAUGACGGCCUUCGGGUUGUAAACCUCUGUUAGCAGGGAAGAAGAGAGAUUGACGGUACCUGCAGAGAAAGCGCCGGCUAACUACGUGCCAGCAGCCGCGGUAAUACGUAGGGCGCGAGCGUUGUCCGGAAUUAUUGGGCGUAAAGAGCUUGUAGGCGGUUUGUCGCGUCUGCUGUGAAAGGCCGGGGCUUAACUCCGUGUAUUGCAGUGGGUACGGGCAGACUAGAGUGCAGUAGGGGAGACUGGAAUUCCUGGUGUAGCGGUGGAAUGCGCAGAUAUCAGGAGGAACACCGAUGGCGAAGGCAGGUCUCUGGGCUGUAACUGACGCUGAGAAGCGAAAGCAUGGGGAGCGAACAGGAUUAGAUACCCUGGUAGUCUAUGCCGUAAACGUUGGGCACUAGGUGUGGGGGACAUUCCACGUUUUCCGCGCCGUAGCUAACGCAUUAAGUGCCCCGCCUGGGGAGUACGGCCGCAAGGCUAAAACUCAAAGAAAUUGACGGGGGCCCGCACAAGCGGCGGAGCAUGCGGAUU
This 909-nucleotide ribosomal RNA is filed under the name uncultured bacterium. Its description in RNAcentral is "bacterial SSU rRNA". It matches the Rfam family "Bacterial small subunit ribosomal RNA", at positions 33 to 947 of the family's 1533-position model. The record is from RNAcentral.